AAAGUCCAGAGCUUAUAAACCAGGCCAACCUUCCAGUGUUAUGUUAUUAUAUAUAUUAAUGCUAAUUUCACAUCUAACGGUUGACAUGGUUUAUAAGCUCUGGACUUUAAAUGUGAAAACGAUUAACCAUCCAUACCUAGAUAUGGCACGCUGCUAUUGGGCGGGCCUGACUUGGACCUUCUUCUCCUUCUUCAUCUUCUUCUUGUGAUUCUUUAACCAGAGUGGAGCUGCAGCCAAGAAAAUAUAGAACAAACAAAGAAUGAAUCACCAUGAUCGAUUUUUAAAUCUCCUGAUGCGAGAACGGUGGUUGUGAUGAUGAACAGAAUUAAUAUGUGUAUGAGAAUUGUGAAGCAAGAAAAGCUUCUUUAAGACUUUCAUGAACACUACCAAGCCUGNNNNNNAGCUGUUGACGCUGCAGGAGGCUUCCCAGGUGAAACCAUGGCAGUAUUAGUAGUUUUGAUUGAUGAUCUCAGAGAUUGAAGCUGAUUAACACAUCCCAUUUUAAC
RNAcentral lists this unclassified non-coding RNA (506 nucleotides) under Hevea brasiliensis (rubber tree). The record is from RNAcentral. Lineage: Eukaryota; Viridiplantae; Streptophyta; Magnoliopsida; Malpighiales; Euphorbiaceae.